GGCGUUCGGCGAGGCAGAGGGAGGCCUAAGAAGUAUUGGAGAGAGGUGAUUAGGCAUGACAUGGCUAGAAUGCGGGUUUCCGAGGACUUGACCCUUGAUAGGAAAGUCUGGAGGUCUAGUAUAAGGGUUGUAGGAUAGGGGGCUCUAGAGUUUUUCGUACUCCUUACCCAGGGUUGGGUGAGGCUUAGCAGGGCUAUCCAUAGAUGAUUUGUGUAUUGGAUUGUGUCUCCCUUAUUAUUGCAUGCUAUUUAUGGAAGUUACUGUUUGAUAUCAUUGCAUGUUAUUUUAUUUAUGGUUCUUAUGUUUAUAUAAUUAUUUAUGCUAUUUCUGCUGAAGC
Molecule: long non-coding RNA, 337 nt
Filed under: Nicotiana benthamiana
Lineage: Eukaryota; Viridiplantae; Streptophyta; Magnoliopsida; Solanales; Solanaceae
Description: long non-coding RNA (NBEN_LNC032397)
Source: RNAcentral